AGCUGAAUGCCACGUCGAACCGGCCUGAGACAGCAACGCGCCAUGCACGCGGAAACUCCUUUUCACCGGUGGCGAGAGCUACCGGCGAGGAAUCCGUCGUCCGCCCCUACUUUAAGAUCAACGCGCGUGCCACCUAUUUGUUCUCAUAUUUUUAUUAUACGAAAGCAAUACCUAGCAAAAUACAUCGGUACCCACCCACGCCCACGACCGACUUUAUAUACCCUGACACCCUAACGACGACCCGUGAGGCUGACUCUCUCUCUCUCUCCCUCCCCCCUUCCUCUCUCUCUCGGUUGCUCCUCCGGCAGGCCGCCGCCACCGCAGCUCCGUGCUCCUGCAGCCCGCCGCCACCGCCGCUCCGUGCUCCGGCAGCCUGUCGCCAUAGAAGACCAGAUCUGGCCUCCCCUACGCAGCAACGUCCAGAUCUGGCUGCUCCGGCCGCCGUGAUGCCACCGAGAUGGUGCGUAGACGGGUACCCCCCGGCAGUCGUGCUCCGGUAGUUUGUCGCCGUCGGAUCCGUACCCUCCUUCCCCAACUCUUCUGUGCGAUGGGAAAUGUGUGCGUGAUGAGAACAUGGUGGGUUCCAUAUCAUAAAAAGUUGUGGGCCCUGAGCAAAGGCAUAUCAAUGCCACAAAUGCAGAAAAGGAACCAAAUACAUCUGAGAAUGUCAGAUGGAGUCAGAUACGCUGCAAGCUCAUUGGCUAGAGACUCACCGGUAGCUCCCUGCUCCCGUAAAAAAACCUAGACCUCCUUUGAUUUAGAGGAAUUUUGUAGGAAUUUCAUAUGAUAGGAUUUUUAUAAAAAAAUUCCUUUAGAGCCCUUUGAUUUGUAGAAAUGAAAUCCUAUUUUUAUGAAGAAAUUUUUCCUAUGCUCCA
Long non-coding RNA from Triticum aestivum (bread wheat), 875 nucleotides. RefSeq lists it as uncharacterized. NCBI's taxonomy places the organism in Eukaryota, Viridiplantae, Streptophyta, Magnoliopsida, Poales, Poaceae. The record is from RefSeq and is a predicted model, not a curated record. The transcript is spliced from 2 exons.